RNAcentral lists this small nuclear RNA (18 nucleotides) under Arabidopsis thaliana (thale cress). Its description in RNAcentral is "snRNA_04388". Lineage: Eukaryota; Viridiplantae; Streptophyta; Magnoliopsida; Brassicales; Brassicaceae. The record is from RNAcentral.
CCACCGAGCGGCGGGUAG